CUUCCGCCGGCGACCGGCGCACGGGUGAGUAACACGUAUGCAACCUGCCCCUGUCAGGGGGACAACCCGCCGAAAGGCGGGCUAAACCCGCGUACAUGCCACCGGGGCAUCCCGGAGGCAGGAAAGGCUUCGGCCGGACAGGGAUGGGCAUGCGGCGCAUUAGGCAGUAGGCGGGGUAACGGCCCACCGAGGCGACGAUGCGUAGGGGUUCUGAGAGGAAGGUCCCCCACACUGGUACUGUGACACGGACCAGACUCCUACGGAAGGCAGCAG
This 273-nucleotide ribosomal RNA is filed under the name uncultured bacterium. Its description in RNAcentral is "partial 16S ribosomal RNA". It matches the Rfam family "Bacterial small subunit ribosomal RNA", at positions 82 to 354 of the family's 1533-position model. The record is from RNAcentral.